CCCUUAGAUGUUCUGGGCGGCCCGCGCACUACAUUGGCACUCUCAAUAAGUUCCUAGAUCUAAAACUUUGGGGUAUUCUAUUAAGUGGUGUCGUGACUGGGAUUAACCCUUGCAAUUAUUGGUUACGAACGAGGAAUUCCUUGUAAUCGCGGUUUAUCAGCCCGCGUUGAAUGCGUCCCUGCCCUUUGUACACACCGCCCGUCGCUCCUACCGAUGAAUCGUCUGGUGAAGUUCAUGGAGUGGUGGUUGUUCCAGCUGCUGUCGAAGUGAAAUGGACCUCACGAUUUAGAGGAAGGAGAAGUCGUAACA
Molecule: ribosomal RNA, 309 nt
Filed under: uncultured eukaryote
Lineage: Eukaryota
Description: partial 18S ribosomal RNA
Rfam family: Eukaryotic small subunit ribosomal RNA
Source: RNAcentral